RNAcentral lists this ribosomal RNA (264 nucleotides) under uncultured bacterium. RNAcentral's name for it is "partial 16S ribosomal RNA". It matches the Rfam family "Bacterial small subunit ribosomal RNA", at positions 89 to 354 of the family's 1533-position model. The record is from RNAcentral.
CGGCGACCGGCGCACGGGUGCGUAACGCGUAUGCAACCUACCCAUUACAGGGGGAUAACACUGAGAAAUCGGUACUAAUACCCCAUAACAUCCAGGGAGGCAGCUUCUUGGGUUGAAAACUCCGGUGGUAAUGGAUGGGCAUGCGUUGUAUUAGUUAGUUGGUGGGGUAACGGCCUACCAAGGCGACGAUCAGUAGCCGGCCUGAGAGGGCGGACGGCCACACUGGGACUGAGACACGGCCCAGACUCCUACGGAAGGCAGCAG